GCAAAUUACCCAAUCCAGACACUGGGAGGUGGUGACGAGAAAUACCAGGUCGUUCCCAAAAGGAUUCGACACUGGAAUGAGUUUAAUUUAAAAAUUUAAACGAGAAACAACUGGAGGGCAAGUCUGGUGCCAGCAGCCGCGGUAAUUCCAGCUCCAGUAGUGUAUCCAAAAGUUGCUGCGGUUAAAACGCUCGUAGUUGGACAAGAGAGUAGCUUGGUGCGGGCGGGGAGUGUGAUUGCACUGCGUGUUCGCACUUGCUGUCGAUGCUGUUUGUUUCACUCUGUGAGCAGGUAGUGUCGGCUCAAGCUGUGGGGCGUAGUUGUGCGCUUGUCGACCAUGCUGCCAGGCUCCUCGAAAUGUUUCGUGAGAAUGGUACAUGGUCUUGAUUGUACUGUGUACCCUGCCUCACGUAGUGUGCCUUGAAUAAAUCAGAGUGCUCAAUGCAAGCUUUCGCUUGAAUGUCUUAGCAUGGAACGAAUGUACAGUGGGAGCGAGUCUGGGGCGCCCUCGGGCUGCCACUUACUCGUAGCACCAACCGCGAAGCGGAACAUUGGUUGCCGACUUCGGGUGAGGAUUAAGAGGGGCACUUGGGGGCAUUAGUAUUUGGCCGCGAGAGGUGAAAUUCUUGGACCGGCCAAGGACUGACAAGUGCGAAAGCAUUUGCCAAGGGUGUUCCCUUUAAUCAAGAACGAAAGUGAGAGGUUCGAAGACGAUCAGAUACCGUCCUAGUUCUCACCGUAAACGAUGCCAACCCGGGAUGAGUCCGGAUGAUACAUUUGGAUCCAGGUUGGUCCCCCUGGGAAACCUUGAGUUUUUAGGUUCCGGGGGGAGUAUGGUUGCAAGGCUGAAACUUAAAGGAAUUGACGGAAGGGCACCACCAGGGGUGGAGCCUGCGGCUCAAUUUGACUCAACACGGGAAAACUCACCUGGUCCGGACAUCGAUAGGAUUGACAGACUAAUAGAUCUUUCAUGAUACGGUGGGUGGUGGUGCAUGGCCGUUCUUAGUUCGUGGAGCGAUCUGUCAGGUUGAUUCCGGUAACGGACGAGACCAUGUUCUCCAUUUGGGGAAGCGCAAGCCGGGAGCAAGGAGCGUCGUCGGAUGGGUGGUCGGCCUCGGUCGGACGGUUGUCUAGGCGCU
RNAcentral lists this ribosomal RNA (1138 nucleotides) under Myxobolus spirosulcatus. RNAcentral describes it as "SSU rRNA". It matches the Rfam family "Eukaryotic small subunit ribosomal RNA", at positions 436 to 1389 of the family's 1831-position model. The record is from RNAcentral. Lineage: Eukaryota; Metazoa; Cnidaria; Myxozoa; Bivalvulida; Myxobolidae.